Molecule: ribosomal RNA, 439 nt
Filed under: uncultured bacterium
Lineage: Bacteria
Description: partial 16S ribosomal RNA
Rfam family: Bacterial small subunit ribosomal RNA
Source: RNAcentral
CUACGGGCGGCUGCAGUGAGGAAUAUUGCACAAUGGGGGGAACCCUGAUGCAGCAACGCCGCGUGGAGGAUGACGCGUUUCGGUGUGUAAACUCCUUUUAUAUGUCAAGAAAAUGACGGUAGCAUAUGAAUAAGCACCGGCUAACUCCGUGCCAGCAGCCGCGGUAAUACGGAGGGUGCAAGCGUUACUCGGAAUCACUGGGCGUAAAGGACGCGUAGGCGGGUUGGAAAGUCAGGUGUGAAAUCCUACAGCUUAACUGUAGAACUGCACUUGAAACUUCUAAUCUAGAGUAUGGGAGGGGGAGAUGGAAUUAGUGGUGUAGGGGUAAAAUCCGUAGAUAUCACUAGGAAUACCUAAAGCGAAGGCGAUCUCCUGGAACAUUACUGACGCUAAGGCGUGAAAGCGUGGGGAGCAAAUAGGAUUAGAUACCCCCGUAGUC